GGAAAGGACUCCUGUUUACCGUGGGAAAGCUGAGCGCAGAAGGCAGAGGUCCCUUGGUCAGAUCUCAGCUGGGCUCAAGGUUGUGAAGUGGGCAAGUUUAUGAGAACACAGGUGAAUAACAACUCGCACGGUUUACUGUUCACCUCCAAACUUUAGGAUCUGGAGACCAUGUGCAGAUUCACUUGUAGUAGACGUUUACGUUUUGGGGAAGUAAAUAGGGACAUGGACUGGCAUAAAGUCAUGGCUUGAGCUCAACUGGAGCUCAUUCUUGGGCAUUUAUCCACCUAAGAAACAGCAUUCUGUCCUCUUCAAAGUAAAUUGAACACCAGCUGCUUUAGCAAACAACCCCAAGAUUUCAGGGACUGACUGACCCGUAUGUUAUAGGGUGUGUUUCUUGUUCACAUCAGAGUUUUAUGCAGUCUGGGUGAGAGUUGUGCUGGGACUUAGGAUACUUCCACCUGUUGGUUCAGCCAUCCCAAAGGCCGUGGAAUCCUCCUGGGUUUGCUCUAUCCUUCAGGUUGACCAGCAGAGGAGAGAAAAGGUCCUGUGGAUGUUUCAGGGGCCAGGACUUGAAAUAAUACAUGCUACUUUCAUCUAUACUUUGCUGACUAGAACUCAGUCUCUUUGCCCCACUUAGAGGCCAGGGUUCUGAGAAACACAGGAGUGACACAAACCUCCGUGUAUGAGUUUCGUAUUGCUGCUGUAACAAAUUGCAGUAACUACAGAGGCUCAAAACAACAAAUGUAUUCUCUAGCAGUUCUGGAGGUCAGAAUUUCACUCAGUCUAAUGGGUCUAAAUUAUAAUGGA
Molecule: long non-coding RNA, 807 nt
Filed under: Marmota monax (woodchuck)
Lineage: Eukaryota; Metazoa; Chordata; Mammalia; Rodentia; Sciuridae
Source: RNAcentral